GCUGAGGACGUGGUUGCCCGUCCCUCCCUUGGGGAUGCCGUCGACUGCACCCGCCUCGCCUGUGCCUGGCCUGGCUCGCCUCGUGGCGUGGGGGCGAAAAGGGACAGGCGGCGGAGCGCUUACCGGCCGUGGACAGGAGCUGCCCUAAGGGAAGCUGGAAUGGCCAGAGAAAGGUGAAGAAGAAGAAGAAGAAGAAGAAGAGAUGGAAGGCUCUCCGGCCGGCAGCUGCCUCCCGCUGCAGGCAAGAGAGCGCCUGCCUCGCCGGGCGGAGGACAGCCGAGCGACCGGAGUGACAGCAAAGGAAAGGCGGAGAGCGGGAGAAAGAAGCGUCUGCGCUGGCAAGCUCUCCCGGCAGCGCCGAGAGCCAGAGCUGCGGUGCUGCUGCGCCGAUGCUCCGUACGUUCGCAGUAACGGGUAGAGCGGAAGGCUCCGUGGCCAGGGAAGAGCGGCACGGACACGUUCCUGCUCGCUCCGUUGCACCGGAAUUUCAACGGCUGGGUUCGGCCGCUAAAUUGAUGGCGCUACCGGAAGAAAUUUCAGAAAAAAAGGGUGGCUUUUUCGUCGAUCUCUUUGUGAGAGUAUCAAAUCAGGCGGCGGUAAAUACGUAGAAGCAACUAGGCGUACUACGGCGUGUACCGGACAGCGUUGGCGUGCCGCUCUGCUAGCAGCGGAGAGCCAGAUGAGGAUGCCCGUGGUA
Long non-coding RNA from Grus americana (Whooping crane), 697 nucleotides. RefSeq lists it as uncharacterized. The record is from RefSeq and is a predicted model, not a curated record. The transcript is spliced from 4 exons. Lineage: Eukaryota; Metazoa; Chordata; Aves; Gruiformes; Gruidae.